AAUUAGUGAUCAAUAUAUAAGUCGUUAGUAUAAUGAUAACAAAUAUUUCAUUCUAUAACUAUGAAAAGUAAACAUAAUACUUUACCUCUUCUUGCCAAUAAUUAUGCCAAUGUCAUCUGCUUCUCUUAACCCACCCAAAAGAGCACCUCAAUAUGCUAAUAUGUGAUCGUGAAAAUUGACAAGGUGCCACUUUCUCAAUGACGGACUUUUCGUGUAAGCUCAUAUUCAUAACUAUUUUAUUGUAAAUUUAUAUGACAAAGGAAAGAAAUGAGGAAGGAAAGAAGAAAAGAAAAAAAGAAAGAAGGUAUAAAGAAAGUUUUCUAUGCAAGCUCGAAUUUAAAGCUACCUUGUAUGAUUGCAAAUUUAAAUUAAGAAAGAAAAAC
RNAcentral lists this long non-coding RNA (383 nucleotides) under Carica papaya (papaya). RNAcentral's name for it is "long non-coding RNA (CPAP_LNC002163)". Lineage: Eukaryota; Viridiplantae; Streptophyta; Magnoliopsida; Brassicales; Caricaceae. The record is from RNAcentral.